RNAcentral lists this non-coding RNA (225 nucleotides) under Rosistilla ulvae. Lineage: Bacteria; Pseudomonadati; Planctomycetota; Planctomycetia; Pirellulales; Pirellulaceae. The record is from RNAcentral.
AAAGUGUCCUACGAAGAGAUUGUAGCCAAAUGCUUCGGCCUCCAACGGAGGUGCGAUGAAGGUAACGACAUCGUGCUGAGCGUCCGGGACGAGGGAAGCGCAGGCCAGCCAUUGAGCUCCGAAAUCAAGCCUUUCGCGUGCCGACCUCGUUCUGCCGUAGGGAAGGCAAAAUCGAUUGUACCGCUAAGGGCAAGGUGCAAUCGGACGCGGCGGAGUCUGAGACCC